Heterocephalus glaber (naked mole-rat) is the source of this 913-nucleotide long non-coding RNA. RefSeq lists it as uncharacterized. NCBI's taxonomy places the organism in Eukaryota, Metazoa, Chordata, Mammalia, Rodentia, Bathyergidae. The record is from RefSeq and is a predicted model, not a curated record.
AGCAGGGUUGGGAAUGGGGAUGGAGGUGGGGAGGCUUCAGGAUGCAGGAAUGGGCUGUGAUUGUUCUCAGAGCUCAGGAAUUCAGGUGACUGAGGGUCUUCUGCAGACAGGAGUCAGAUCCAUCAGUCCUGAUUAGUGCAAAUUUUCCUGAAGCUUUUGGGCAUAAUCUGGUAAGCAAUUCAGCAGAUAAACAAGGACAGCUGCCUACAAGUCAACCAUGGUGCACCUCAGCUGACAGUGAGGGAUGCCGUUUCAGAAGACUGACUGUGCUUGAGAUUUUUAUAAAUAAGGACCCCUUUCCUCACUUCAAACUCCCAAAAAUGUCUGAGUUGUGGAAAUGGUUGGAAGUUGAGUCCGUCAGCUGGCAGAGGCCUGGAAGACACCAGCCCUCUCACCAGACCCUAUGCAGAGUUGUGGUUUUCCAGGAAGCAUUAGGGGCCAAGAGCACAGAGCUGUGGCAUGAAGGGAUCCAGGAAAAGGUGGAAGAAACAGCCAGGCAAGAAAGUACAAGUUCAUGUCAGCACUCCAGCGCCCUGCUCACUCCUGCUCAAGUGAGCUGACCUGCUACUGCCAGAAUGUUGCCUGGCUCCCUGAGUCACACAGAACAUCUGAAGAGGCAGUGUGGCAAAGGAAGUACAGAGCUGAGUUGAGGGCAGGACAGGCCUCGGAGUUUGGAUUUCAACUCUUCACCCCCAUGUAGACAAGUUAUUUUAGGUUGUUGUAAUAAUGGAAAGCUGACCAACAGAGGAUCAAACAAGUUCCGCUGCGAUGUUUUAGGACCUCAGCUGAGCACUCUUUCCUCUGCCUGAGGAGACCCAGCCUGGCCUCAGCAUGGCUUGUUAUCAUGCUGUUUUUUAUCAACUUAGCACCUGAGCGGCAUGGACACAGCCUUCUUUGAGGCUGUUGCCUUCAU